CAGGACUAGAGGACACAGUUGGAAAUUAAGUGGAGGUGGACACUUCUUUACAUAGAAAGUGGUGAGGAUAUAAAAUAAGCUGCAGCACCAAGUCAUGUUUCUGAUGCUGAAUUAUUUGGACUUUAAGACCAACUUGUCAAAGUUUUGAGAUCAAUCAGUUACUAUUAACCAGGCAAGCAUAGAUGGGCUGAAUGGCCUCCUCUCUUUUGUACAUUUCUUUAUGUUCUUGUGUUUCUGAGACUAGCUCUUUACAAGUAUGCUUUGCUGUCUAGUGCUGGAGAAGAUUUAUGAGCUGCUUGGAGUUGUGGGAGAAAUGCAGCCCAGCGACAUGCUUAAUAACUCUGAGAAACUUUGUCAGGCAUACACUGAGUGAACUGAAGAAACAAGCAAGUGGUUGGGGAAUUCUGUCUAUGGAGAAUAGUACAGAGGAGUUUUGCAAUCAGGAAGUGCAAUUUAGAUUAAAACAAGUUCAGAUUUCCAAUGAAAAUGCUAAGGGUAUACUUUUAUUAUUUCCAAAGCAACUAACAGAGACUAGGGGGUGAACUAUGCAUCGCAAUUGCUGCUGCAGAGUCACUUCCAAUAGAACCCCAGUUUUAUAUCUCAUUCGAAAGACUGGCUGAGCUGGGAUUGAACCCGGAAUCUUCUGGAAUCAAGACCCUUUCUUUAACCACUGGACGGCCAAGCACAUGUUGUCUACAUUGUUUACAAAGUGUUCUGUUUCAUGAUAUAUAUUUUUUACCUGAAGCUGUGGUGGGUUUGUGUGUUAUUAACCUACUGGUUUAAACUGCAGGUUGCUAAGCUUUAAAACAUUUUAAAUAUUCUCCUUUUUUACACUUAGAGAUGGACAGGUUCUUUCAGACAGUGUAUCCUGGGAUUCUCAUAAUCUCAGUUACGUCAAUCAUUACAUUUAGAUGACAUCUGCAACAAGAAAGCCCAAGCUACCUGUGGUAGCCGGAUGUCUGAUAGGUUUAACUGCUCUUAUGAUAAACUUGACCAAAUCAAUGGAUGGAGCUCCUAAAGGUUCGAAGGAAUUUGAUUUUGCACUAAAAGCUAUUACCCCCAGACAGAGUUGAAAAGACAUGUUGUAUCUUUGACCCUGUGUCUGCAGGAUGUGGAUUUCAUGUACACAGAGCUGAUUCAGUGCUGGAAGCAGAUGUGCCUGACUGAGACUGACACAGAGGAUGACAAUGUGUAUCAGCAGCCCAGUGUCAUAGUCCACCUUGACAGGUGCGUUAGGGUUGGAUUCGUGUCUGUUCUAAGCCAGUGCUUCUUACUGAGGAAGAAGAGGGACAAGAGGGGGACCAACCGGUGGAAGGAGGACAGGGAAGUGGAAGGUCCCCUCAUACAGGGACUACCUAGGCCUCUUGAGGAGCCUUCUGGACUGUGAUAAAAUGAAGGACUCUGGAUUCGUAGAUGGACCCUAUGACGUCUGAAGUUCAUCUCUGCACACCUGAACCGUUUGCUUCAUGACAAGCUCAUCAAAUCAAUACUGAAGAUAAAUGAGAAACAGGACUUGUCGGUCCAGAAACAGCUCUCACUAGCAAGCGGUUGGAAUUGGGCUGUUGAAUUAUUCUACAUAAUUUGUUCUCUGAGUCCAACCAAAUGGCAUAUUAUAUGGAUUGGAUAGUAUCAUAUAUAUUUUUACUCUAUCCAUAUACUUUCCUUUUACUUGAUAUUCACCCACUAUAAAGAAAAUGUUUUACUUUAUAUGUUUUAACUUUUUUUAAAAUAACUUUAACCAUCAAAAGGGUUAGUAAAACUCAAAACCCACACGGUAAAUUUCAACUUUCCACUUAAACUGGUUUAACUGAGGUUUGUUUGUUUGAGACUUUACUGCUAAAAUAUUUAAAAUAUAUAUUUGUAAAAUGUGUACCAUGUUAGUUUAUAUAUAAUUGCAAAGACUACAUAGCCUAUACAUUUUAGACGCACAUACAAACACACACACACACUAGGACAAUGUGUUGAUUUUGACAUAUGAACCUUGGAACAUUGAAAUAGGGUUUAUUUAAAUAGUCUGUAUAAAUUGUAUCAGACCUCAAUUUAGUAUAAAAAUACAACGCUUUUCUGUCACAGUUUUUACUAUAUAUACUAUUGAUCACUAUGCUGAAGAAGACACUAGCCAAAACAUUUGUCUUAUUUGUUUUACUGUACAUAUGUCAAAAGAAAUACAGACUAUAGAUUUUACAACUUCUUCUGACCUGGCUGCAGACCUUCAGCCAAGCAAAUCCAAAGACUUCACUGCCAUUGUCGACCUGGUGGAGUUCUGUAGGUAAAGCUUGUUGUCUUUUUGCAGUAUUUUAGUUUUUUUUUUGGCAAGAUAUACUGCAUCUUCUAUUUUAUGUUUAAUAGGGAAUACAUAGCUUUUUUGCCCUACCAUAGAGCCUUAGUUCUUGUACACAGUGCUGCUCACAUAUUUUGUUAGUGGUCUCAGCGAAGCAUAUGUGUUGUGUUGGAUUUACAAUGUGAGGAACUGCUGGGUUUGUUGCUCAACAGCAUAAUGCUAUUGGUGCCUCUCUGACACGUCCCAGAAGAACUUUGUUACUUUCUCUCACGGAGAGUACUAUAGUUUGUUCCAAGAGUCAAUUCAGAGCUUCUUCAGAACCAGGACACCACUGUGCCACAGUUGAUGAAGACCUUAAAAUGGUGAGAGCCCUUUUUAUGAAUGAAGUCUAGGUCGGACUUCUUUUCUUUGGAGUGCUGCCACAAAAACAGCAACACCAAUGUAGUAGUGAUCCUUUAAAAUCAAUGACAGUAGAGGUUACUCCAUUUCCUGUACCCUUGAACUAUAAUACAAUUUAGUCUGAUUUCUAAUUUCCACCAAUCCAAUUAGAAAAGAGUUCCCAAAAACACCCUUAAAGGGAAGAACAAUAGUAACUUUUUUUUGUUUCCUGACUUUUGCCUUUUGCAUUAUCUAUUUAAAUCUACUGUACACCCAGGAAUAUGAAUUAUUUUUGGUCACUAUUUGGAAAAGCAUAACUAAUCGUGCCCUGUAACAUUGAAUUCUUAAGUGUGCGCAGUGCAGGUGAGCAUGGGAUCAUUUUCCACUUUAGCCCUCCUCUCCAGUCAGUCCCAUAUAUAUAUAUAUAUAUAUAUAUAUAUAUAUAUAUAUAUAUAUAUAUAUAUAUAUAUAUAUAUAUAUAUAUAUACACAAAAAAGACAUUGCUUGUUUAAUUCCCUCACUUAUUACUUAUUAUACUUAUCAAAUAGAUUUUUUUUUUUGACGAUUCAAGUGAUCAUCAGAAAAAUAGUUUAAGCUACUAAAGAACAGUGCAACCUGCAUUUCUUUUUCCCUGCUCGAUGGCUCCAAUCUGUUACACUUGCCUUUAGAACUAAUGGUAGUUUUGAAUCAGUGACUAGUAGUAUAUGUACUGAACACCACUGCAAAUGUUGAGUGGCAUGUGUUGAAAGAAACCAAAGAAUCAAUCUGUCAUUAAAACAAACUGCAGUUUAAAAUAAGUGGCUUUUUCUAUUAGUCAGUGCUGGUGAUCUUUCUGGGUCGGUAUCUUGUCAUCUAUUUACAGUAUUUCGUUUAUUCCUUGCUUCAACAGAAAAAAUGUGAAAAAAUUGACAUUUCAAAAUCUAAGCUGAAAUAUUUUACUACUAUUAUGGUUUCC
Long non-coding RNA from Polyodon spathula (Mississippi paddlefish), 3614 nucleotides. RefSeq lists it as uncharacterized. The transcript has 7 exons. NCBI's taxonomy places the organism in Eukaryota, Metazoa, Chordata, Actinopteri, Acipenseriformes, Polyodontidae. The record is from RefSeq and is a predicted model, not a curated record.